RNAcentral lists this ribosomal RNA (301 nucleotides) under uncultured bacterium. RNAcentral describes it as "partial 16S ribosomal RNA". It matches the Rfam family "Bacterial small subunit ribosomal RNA", at positions 509 to 807 of the family's 1533-position model. The record is from RNAcentral.
CAGUCGCCACGGGAAGACGAACCGUGCGAACGUUAUUCGGAAUCACUGGGCUUAAAGCGCGUGUAGGCGGGAGGGCACGUCCGUCGCUGAAAUCCCCCGGCUCAACCGGGGAACGGGCGCGGAUACGACUCUUCUGGAGGAACGUAGGGGGACCUGGAACUUCCGGUGGAGCGGCGAAAUGCGUUGAGAUCGGAAGGAACGCCCGUGGCGAAAGCGAGGUCCUGGACGUUUACUGACGCUGAGACGCGAAAGCCAGGGGAGCGAACGGGAUUAGAUACCCCCGUAGUCCCUGUCUCUUAUA